Molecule: non-coding RNA, 111 nt
Filed under: Actinomycetota bacterium
Lineage: Bacteria; Bacillati; Actinomycetota
Description: Actinobacteria bacterium SAM-I sequence
Rfam family: SAM riboswitch aptamer (S box leader)
About the family: The SAM riboswitch is found upstream of a number of genes which code for proteins involved in methionine or cysteine biosynthesis in Gram-positive bacteria. The SAM riboswitch acts at the level of transcription termination control. The predicted structure consists of a complex stem-loop region followed by a single stem loop terminator region.
Source: RNAcentral
CUUUCAUGUAGAGAGGCUGAGGGAACGGCCCGAUGACGCCUCGGCAACCGGCGGAGCCCCGCUGCGGUGCCAAUUCCGUCCCGGUGGGCAGACCACAGGGAAAGAUGAGAG